GCCGGCUUGGUGGAAUUGGUAGACACGCAGGAUUUAGGUUCCUGUGCCGAAAGGUGUGUGGGUUCGAGUCCCAUGGCCGGCA
RNAcentral lists this transfer RNA (82 nucleotides) under Halotalea alkalilenta. It matches the Rfam family "tRNA". From Rfam's summary of the family: Transfer RNA (tRNA) molecules are approximately 80 nucleotides in length. Their secondary structure includes four short double-helical elements and three loops (D, anti-codon, and T loops). Further hydrogen bonds mediate the characteristic L-shaped molecular structure. tRNAs have two regions of fundamental functional importance: the anti-codon, which is responsible for specific mRNA codon recognition, and the 3' end, to which the tRNAs corresponding amino acid is attached (by aminoacyl-tRNA synthetases). tRNAs cope with the degeneracy of the genetic code in two manners: having more than one tRNA (with a specific anti-codon) for a particular amino acid; and 'wobble' base-pairing, i.e. permitting non-standard base-pairing at the 3rd anti-codon position. The record is from Rfam by way of RNAcentral. Lineage: Bacteria; Pseudomonadati; Pseudomonadota; Gammaproteobacteria; Oceanospirillales; Halomonadaceae.